This 460-nucleotide ribosomal RNA is filed under the name uncultured bacterium. RNAcentral's name for it is "partial 16S ribosomal RNA". It matches the Rfam family "Bacterial small subunit ribosomal RNA", at positions 338 to 795 of the family's 1533-position model. The record is from RNAcentral.
CCUACGGGAGACAGCAGUGAGGAAUAUUAGUCAAUGGGUGCUAGCCUGAACCAGCCAAGUAGCGUGCAGGAAGACGGCCCUAUGGGUUGUAAACUUCUUUUAUAUGGGGGUAAAGUGCAGUAUGUAUACUGAUUUGCAUGUACCUUACGAAUAAGGAUCGGCUAACUCCGUGCCAGCAGCCGCGGUAAUACGGAGGAUUCGAGCGUUAUCCGGAUUUAUUGGGUUUAAAGGGUGCGUAGGCGGGUGGAUAAGUUAGUUGUGAAAGUUGGAGGCUCAACCUUGAAAUUGCCGCUGAUACUGGUAGGCUUGAGUACAGUAGCGGUAGGCGGAAUGCGUGGUGUAGCGGUGAAAUGCUUAGAGAUCACGAAGAACCCCGAUUGCGAAGGCAGCUUGCUGGACUGUAACUGACGCUGAGGCUCGAAAGUGUGGGGAGCAAACAGGAUUAGAUACCCCGGUAGUC